GGGGUCACAGCCGGAAGUCCUGGUGUGGGUGGAGUUGAGCCACAGACACAAACACUAACAGAAAAAAACAGUGGUUUCUUUACAAUGAGAACAAGAGGAAGAAAAUCGGUCGUGGAGCUGAUGCUGCCUGACCUGCUGAGUGUUCCCAGCAACUUCUGUUUUAUAUUAUCUAUGAUUGUAUAUCUGCUCCUGUCUCCGACAUUGAAUGACGAGAAGACCUGCUGUUGACAGAAUGUCCGUGCUGGGAAAGCAAAGAGGGGCGUUAUUUCAGAAUGAAGCAAUAAUUCAUCAGGAAAUUGAAAAGAUCUUCCUGGAGACAGAAAUGUUUUGAAUUUAAAUUGGAUCCUGGCACUGAA
Molecule: long non-coding RNA, 356 nt
Organism: Callorhinchus milii (elephant shark)
Lineage: Eukaryota; Metazoa; Chordata; Chondrichthyes; Chimaeriformes; Callorhinchidae
Exons: 3
Source: RefSeq, a predicted model, not a curated record